UUGAGUCGCAGCCAUUAUUGAGUAAAAGUGAUUAGCGUAGGCUCUGUAUUAGAGUCUUUCCCCUAGGCCCAGAACAGGACGUUUUGGGCCCUUUUUU
RNAcentral lists this small RNA (97 nucleotides) under Vibrio genomosp. F10. The record is from RNAcentral. Lineage: Bacteria; Pseudomonadati; Pseudomonadota; Gammaproteobacteria; Vibrionales; Vibrionaceae.